GUGUAAGUCAAAGAGCACCUGUACUAAAAUUGGAACAAUACAAAGAAGAUUAGCAUGACCUCUGGACAAGGAUGACACAUAAAUUUGUAAAACAUUCUAUAUGUUU
This 106-nucleotide small nuclear RNA is filed under the name Propithecus coquereli (Coquerel's sifaka). Lineage: Eukaryota; Metazoa; Chordata; Mammalia; Primates; Indriidae. The record is from RNAcentral.